Molecule: long non-coding RNA, 5035 nt
Organism: Rhineura floridana
Lineage: Eukaryota; Metazoa; Chordata; Lepidosauria; Squamata; Rhineuridae
Exons: 3
Source: RefSeq, a predicted model, not a curated record
AGGCAGAAGCCGAACCGGCCAGGUCACAUCAAGCCAAGGCCAGGCUGCCCCACCCUUACCAUGGUGCCGGGUCCCUGUUGCGGUGAUGGCGCCGGGCGCUACUGCCUUACGGAGCGGGGUCUGACUGACGCUACUAGCACAGCUCGGAGAGUGCGGGCUGGGAUGAAGAGAGGAACCAGGCAGGGGGUUGGAAGUAGAGGGGGGGGAGAGGAAAGGCCGGUCACAUGGGCGCUGUCUCCUCUCACCACGUGCUGUAGGCCCUGCCCAGUCCUGCAGAGCAAAAAUGAAGAGUGGGGAGAAGGAUCACCCUCCUGUUCAUAGCAAAUGAUCCCUUUCGACUCGAAAACUUCCCUGGGGGAUUGGGGGACUUCGUGAGGGAAAAUUAGACCCACCUACCAUCAAGUUUUGUCUCAGUAUGGCAAAAGGGCUUGUCCUAGGAUUGCGCCCCACCCACCAAAAACCCUUCGUGGGUUACCGUGCCCUCACUUCCCCACUGGACUUUAUUUCCCUCCGGAAAGCGAGAACACGAGAUCUGAUGCGGUACUUUCCUUUGCCACGCAGCCCCCUCUUACUUGUUUGAUCGCCUCAGCCAAUGACUGAGCAGCGGAACAAGCGACGACGAGGAGCACCUGCCGAGGGGCGCGCGGCAGCUGGGAAGCGCAGCGGCCAAGUCUUCCGCGUUUGUUGCCCGCAGAGAGAAGGCGAGCGAAGGAUACACCUUACAGCCACCUCAGCUAUUCAGUUUUGCCUCCUCUCGACAGUUUGGCUUUGGUCAGUUUUUCACUCUACGCUGCAACCAAGCGGACGCCGCGGCUGCUUUCUCCUUUGCUCCGCGGCCAUCCGAGCAAUUGGCCGAGAGAGAGCAGCAGAGGUGGUGGUUGCAAAGAGAGGAGUAGCAGCUGCUGAGCUCUGGAUGGUAUAGCUGCCCACCGAGGCAGCUAAAGUGAGCGGAGACCGUGGAUGCUCCUUGCAGGUGCCUCCAGCUCCCUUGCUCAACAGGCAGUUCAGCAGCGGAGACCAGACGGCUGUAGUAAAUGAAGAGAAAUAAAGGAGAGAAGCAGAGAAAAACCCAGGAAUCAAACAGUAAAGAGUCCUCAAUGAAGUCUCGAGUAGAAACAAGAGUCAGAAGCUUCCCACAAAGGGCAUGAAGAAUCUUCAUCUUGUCUCCUAAUGAAUGUAACAUAAAGAGGGAUGCUUCAUUUCAGAAGUCAGAGAAUAAUCAUUUCAAAUGUCAAUUGGCCUCAUCAAUAAGGCAAAGUAUCUCUCCUUUAUCUAGAAGUGACAUUUGGCUCAUUAAGUCAUACAAAGAUUGACAGGUUAUAAGCCUAAAGUGGGGAGGAUGGGAAUCUAUGUAUGUGGAUGAUUAUACCAUUUCAGACUUUAGCCAACUUCUUUAUGGUAGAUUGUUUACAUAGUCUUCAAGAUGUUGUUUAAAUAUGUGUGUAUUACCUUGUCAAAGUCUACAUAUAUAUCUGAUCCAAAGAAUCAUGCAAAUGUUCCAUGUACCAAGAAGUUUGUGUUUGUUGAGUAUGAAUCAACCCACCCCAUGUUAUGUGGCAAAUCUGAAACAUUUAAAAGAGAGGACAUUCAAAAGAAGUUUGUGAUGAAGCAUGGGGGAAUCUGCUGAUCAAACACACAAGAGCAACUAAAAAAUACCUCUGUGCACCCUAAACACUGAUAGCUGUUUUGAUCCUGGCCACUGAUUAUUAGAAAGUAUGAGACGUCAAGCUCAUACUGAAUAUUGAGAGAGAGAGAGAGAGAGAGAGAGAGAGAGAGAGAGAGAGAGAGAGAGAGAGAGAGAGAGAGAGAGAGAGUUCUACAAGAUAUGAAGUGCAAUCCUAUGCACGUCUACUCGGAAAUAAGCCCCCUGCCUUCAAUGGGGCUUGCUCCCAGGUAAAAAUGUAUACGAUUGCUGCCUAAAUCACUUACUUAACCUUCAAUCUUUAAUUAUAAAUUAAUACCCAAUUCUGUCCUCACUGUUCUUAUAAAGCUAUGCCCUGUCUAACUUUGAUGUAACCCUUCUGGGUAUUAUAUGUAGUACCUACACAACUUCUAGGGCAAGUAUGUUAAACUAUUAGUGAUUAUGCUUCAAAAAAAGGUUUUUCUUGCUUGAAAAUCUGUGCCAUGUAGCUUGACAAAUUAAUUUGGUUCUAUUACCCGGUGACAAAUCAUACACUGAAGUACACGAGAGUUUCUUCAGCAACCCAGGAUUACUCAGUCUUAGCUCCAUGCAAGCAUCGUCUGUAGCAUCAAAUCCUCCUCGCUUCUGGUAACGAUAUUUAGCAUUGGCUGAUGUUACAUCUGCACCUGAUGCUAGGAUAUGAAGUCUGAGAAUCUCAGAAAGAGUGCAGCUAUCAAGAUCCAAGUUUUUCAAAUUGCAACCUACAGUUAACAAUAGAAGUGAGAUUAGACUAUUUGGCUACUAAGAGUAUUUAGCAAAGAAUGUGAAUUAUACUUUUUUGUAAAAUAUAGCAAAACAUAACAAAAAAGUGAAACCCACACAUACCCUGAUGUAACUGGGGCCAUGCAGCUGCCAAAGAUGCAACUGCAGAUAGUGCAGAUUUUGUGGGGUCUGCAUCUUCAUCCAAAGCCUCUGUUAAAUCUUUAAGGAAAUAAAGACUUUAUUCUAGUGUAAAUUAACACUUGCAUUUCAGAGGCGAUGCAAGCAAGUCUUUUUUAAGCAAUGCAAAGACAACAUAUAAACUCAAUAUUUUUUAAGUUGCAACGCAACAAAUACAUACUACCUAAAGCCAGAAAGCAUGCAACACUCACUAAGAGCUUUGCGCAUUGCACACCACUUGACUACAAGAGCAUAAGCACACACAUGCAAAGAAAGAUAAACCCAAGAAAUGCUCUUAUAGAAAAGGUUUAAUGCAAGCAAUCAAAUAGCAUCCUAUUACUACAUUCCUUAUAGUUAAUCACCUCAUUAUGAUUAUUAUGUAGUGAAAGACCUAUAGAAACAAACACGAUGCCAGCAGCCAGUCAGUGCUGAUCUGCCAUAGUACACAAGAGAUUCCAAAUUCUGGACAGUUGAUCAGUGACUGAUGCACACCAAUAAGCCAGCAAUAAAGCAGGUUCAGGAAGUUUAUAGGAAGCAGCAUCACCAUUAUUCAGAGAAAGAAAACACAGACAUUUCCACAUAUCACACUUUGCCACUGAAGGUAGACCAGCAAGUACUCCUCCUUAACAGUGAGGAACAACAAAAGUAAGACCUCUGCUUGAGAAGUAGAUUCCUUAUUUACUGAAGGAUUUAUUCUUUGAAUUUUUCCAGGCUGAGGUCCUCAAACAUCCCUUCUUCAGGAUGACUGUCUAGAGAGAAAUAUUAAUCUCCACAAAGCAGGACUGAACUAUCAUUUACUGAACACACGUCUCAAUUCACAAAAGUUAACAUGUUUUCUCAUUAACAGCUCCUACAUAAGAACCUUAAUGCUUUUAUUCAUGGUAGUGCAGCCUAACCAAACUAUAUGAACUAUAACAUAGACUUAUGGACAUGCCUAUACUACAAUCAGGAGUUUGGAAUAUCUCAGUCAAAACUAUGGAUGAUUCAAACAAAAACCUGACUUUACAGUUAAGCAAAUGAGUGUUCCUUCUAUAAUCUUACAGCAGGAGGUUUUCAGAGUAUUAAAUAAUUUAUCUUUGAGAGGGAAGGAGAGAGACAGACACACCCUAAUGAUGUCAAUAGGUGCUAGGAACAGUCUACAUACAGCUAACAUACUCCAAGCAACAGUAACUGCCCUGUGUGCGAGUCCAAUGAAUCUCAUAUCCAACUAUGACAGCUGGUUGAGUGUUGAAAACACAGUUCCCAUCCACAACUGAUUUGCAAGGAAGGAGAAGUCAUUUAGAUUAUCUCUCAACUAAUGACUACACAUUCUGUGCACAGUAAAGCAAACAUAUGCUGCUUUACUUUCAACCAAAAAACCCUAAAAACCAUACUUCCCUAAAUGAUGCAACAGAACAAAAUUGACAAAAUUUUCAAUUGAUGCAAGUAACUCUCCCAUGCACAUCAUAGCAAAAUAUAUCUCUUUGAUGAGAUCCACCCCAAAUCCCUUGCUGCGCUAUACUGCAAUUGUUAUUGCAUUGGUUCCAAAGAAGAGAUAUACCUUUUUUUUCAGUUAGAGAAAUGUGAGUUACAGUUACAGAUGUGAGAAAGCUAUGACCCUCCAGAUGUUGUGGAACUACAACUCUCAACAGCCCCAGCAAGCAUGGCCAAUGGCCAGGGAUUAUGGGAGUUGUAGUUCAGCAGUACCUUGCAGGCAAAAGGCAACUCACACCUGAGUUGGGGCAAGUUAUUUGUUCUGUGAUCCCCUCGUCCCCCCUCCACACAUAAGUAAACAAAUGAAAAAAACCAACGACUGAGCUACAGCAGAUCUUGGGAAGAAUAUUCAAAUACUGCAAUAUGCAGUAAUGCAACGUUAUUUCUGUUUCAUUUGUUAAGAAUGACAUAUUCUGGGGUUUAAAAACAAUGCUAUUCAAAAUUACUAUUAUGUUAUCCGUGUAAUGAUACCAGUGAAAAAUACCACCAACACCAUCUCAGGAAUUUGACAUCAAAUAUCCUAAGAGCUGCUUCCUUGCUAUUUGUAAUGUUUUCCUAAAGGCUAGAAUCCUUAUGAAGAACUUAGACCUUAACAAUUCCAUGUAGACUACCAUGUAAGACACAGUUCAGCAUUCACAAUGCAGCCACAUAACAGUGGCAUGAAGAUGAAAAUAUGUGGUUUGCUUUGUUAGCAAUUUAACCAAGAGUCAGGUUUGUGCAUCAAACCACAUUGCCAAAACUACACUAGGCAUUAUUCCUCUAAAAACUAGUUACAAUGUAUGUCUCUAGAUUUAGAAGUGUGCCCUCUGGCAAAAUAAUUAAGUUAACCAAGAAGUGUGCUAUUAGCAUACAAAGCUGGACCAGGUAUUCCAGCAUAUGGAUAACAAUACUACUUGCCACUGAAGGUAGGAAUAGUAAAACUCUGUGCUUUAUGAUGACCGUUUAAUAUUUAACUGAACAAGAAAAAAUCUUAUAGCACUUUCAAAGAUUAACAAAUUUAUC